AAAACCGAAACACUAUUUAAGAUUUGAAAUAUAUAUAAUACCGUAACUUCUGGAAAAUAAUUUCGGAGGUGAAGGAUCGUAAACGACAAAUUUGUUGUGUUCUAAUUUUAUUUGACUGAAAUAAUUAUUUUCCCAAAAUAUAAUACAACACAACACAUUUUCGGGUGAGGGUCGUCCAAACCACCCUCCCUCUUAGAUACGGCCUUGAGCCAUAAUACAUAGUAUGAUAAGCCGACAAAAAAUAUAAAUAUAAUAAUAUGUUUGUAAAUUUCAUAAAAGUUAGCUAGCAAUAGGUAUCGUAUAAUAUAUCUGGGGUCGUGUUCCAUGGAUAUCAGAC
This is a non-coding RNA of Cinara cedri, 337 nucleotides long. Lineage: Eukaryota; Metazoa; Arthropoda; Insecta; Hemiptera; Aphididae. The record is from the annotation of a GenBank genome assembly.